Molecule: non-coding RNA, 104 nt
Organism: Sphagnurus paluster
Lineage: Eukaryota; Fungi; Basidiomycota; Agaricomycetes; Agaricales; Lyophyllaceae
Source: the annotation of a GenBank genome assembly
GGUGAGAUGGCCGAGCGGUCUAAGGCGCCAGACUAAGGACCAGGGCGAUCGUCGUCCAAUAUAUCUGGUCCUCCGGGGCGUGGGUUCGAAUCCCACUCUCAUCA